AUGUAUGUCCGUUUAUUGACACAUUUUCUUAAGUGCUUAUCCAGUUCAGGAUCACAGUGGUCUAUUGUCUUCAAACCAGCAGACAAAGCCGAUGGCAGAAGAUGUUUGGAGAAGAACUUCAGGCCGUGUACUGAAAAGAUCAAAGCAGCUCGUGCUCUGUCUGCUUCCAUUCUGAUGGCAAGAAGAAGAAGAAGGAGAAGACUUCAGCGAAGUGGCGUUCAUGGUCUCAGUGAACAGUCAUGGUCACACACUGCAUGUGGUUUAAAAGCAACAUGUCUGUUCACCACAACAAUGGAGAUGUGUAAUAUCAGUGCAGCUACGGUUUGUUCUUGAACAUCAGUUCUGUUUUCUACUUUGACCACUUAGAACAAAAAAGUGUUGUUUUCAGAUUCUUUCCUUUAAAUCUGUAAAGCACCUGCUCAUUUUUUAUUAAAAUUAGUUUCACAUAAAUGUUAGUGUUUCCUUUAUGAUCUUUUAAUGCUUACACUACACUGUACACAUCUACAUUAGAGACAUUUCUGUUACCUAUGUAUGAGACUGGGCUGCUUGACUACAAUUUGGAAAUGGAUGCAAACUCACACGGAUCGUGCUAUUGUUUGUUUUUUAAUAUGAUUCAAUUCAAUUCAAUAAAACUUUAUUGAUCCUGAAGGUUGACCCCGAGGGAAAUUUGGGUUAAGGCCAACACAGGACGUGUCUGACUAAGCAAAGAUUAAUCUGAUCCCAUUUCUACCUGUCUCUACUGUUUCAACUGUAAUUGUCAGGAUAUAUAUUUAUUCCAGCUCUCAUAGGGCAAAGGAAUGACUCAGACUUGUCAAAUGUUCUUUGACUUGAUAAACAAUUUGAAGUUCACAAUUUUAUUACAAAUAAAACUAUAAUGACAAACAUGAACAGCUGUGCUUAUUUCUGAGACAUGAUUUUUUUGAAUGUGUUCACAUUUAGACAGUGUACAUUUGUAUGCUGAAACUGUAAUGGUGAACCUGAGGUGAUGGUCAACACAAGGCAAAUAUACAUAAAUAUAAAACAAUAUUGAAGUAAUGUCUUUACCCUCUGCAGCGUGUGGACGCUGUGCACACAAUCACCUUAUUCACUGUAGUAAACAUGCUAGCUCACGUGACUGACUGUCUCCAUGGUUACAUCGUAUAUUAUUAGCUAUGCAAACAGCUUCCAAAGAUACCGCCAUAGCGCUCUGCAGCUGUAACACUUUCACACUUUACAAAUCAUUUCACGUUUUUGAAAGUUAUGAAGAAAGAAUAUGUUUUUAAGGUCAUGCUAGGCGG
This 1277-nucleotide long non-coding RNA is filed under the name Oreochromis niloticus (Nile tilapia). RNAcentral describes it as "lncRNA (ENSONIG00000035772.1)". The record is from RNAcentral. Lineage: Eukaryota; Metazoa; Chordata; Actinopteri; Cichliformes; Cichlidae.